Long non-coding RNA from Oncorhynchus tshawytscha (Chinook salmon), 1269 nucleotides. The record is from Ensembl. Lineage: Eukaryota; Metazoa; Chordata; Actinopteri; Salmoniformes; Salmonidae.
UAUACAGGGAGUACCAGUACCAGAUCAAUGUGGAGCUAUAUACAGGAAGUACCAGAUCAAUGUGGAGCUGUAUACAGGAAGUACCAGAUCAAUGUGGAGCUAUAUACAGGAAGUACCAGAUCAAUGUGGAGCUGUAUACAGGAAGUACCAGAUCAAUGUGGCGCUAUAUACAGGAAGUACCAGAUCAAUGUGGAGCUAUAUACAGGGAGUACCAGUACCAGAUCAAUGUGGAGCUGUCUUUCACCGGCCAGUACAUCCACCCUUAAGCCGGAUGACGCUGGGCCAAUAGUGCGUCGCCUCACAGGUCUCCCGGUCGCAGGGCCAUGCAGUCGUUGGUGAACAGGGAGUACAGGAGGGAACUGAGGGGCCCCUGGGUUGAGGAUCUGUGUGGCGGAUGUGUUGUUGCCUUUCCUCACCAUAUGGGGGCGGCCCAUCAGGAAGUCCAGGAUCUUGUCCAGAUGGGAGAGGGCAGUGGGGAGCCUCUUGUCCAGAUUGGAGAGGGCAGUGGGGAGCCUCUUGUCCAGAUUGGAGAGGGCAGUGGGGAGCCUCUUGUCCAGAUGGGAGAGGGCAGUGGGGAGCCUCUAGUCCAGAUGGGAGAGGGCAGUGGGGAGCCUCUUGUCCAGAUGGGAGAGGGCAGUGGGGAGCCUCUAGUGUAGAUGUGUGUCAUGACCUGCCUUUCAAAGCACUCCAUCAUUACAGAUGUGAGUGCUACAGGGCGAUAGUCAAUUAGUCAGGUUACCUUGGAGCUCUUGGGAACAAGGGUUGUCUCUGAUAGCUAGGGGGUGGUUUGGUGCUGUGGACUAAAACACCUGUGCAAGGGUUAAGGGUUGUCUCUCUGCUCAUGGUACAUUCCUUAGAUAAGAUCCCCUCAGAGGUUCCUGAUAACAGCUCUUUUCUCCUAGUCUUCUCCUGAUAACAGCUCUAAUACUGGAGUCUGACUGGAGGUCACACGUUAUGCAAUUAUGUAUUUUGGUUAGGUCAGGGUGUGACAUGGGUGAUGUAUGUGUUGUUGUACUGUCUAGGGGUUUUGUAGGUGUCACAAAUAUCACCGGAGGUGGCUCCCCUUCCUGCUCGGGUGGCGCUCGGCGGUCUAUUAGCUGCCACUGAAGGUGGCUCCCCUUCCUGCUCGGGUGGCGCUCGGCGGUCUAUUAGCUGCCACUGAAGGUGGCUCCCCUUCCUGCUCGGCGGUCGUCGUGGCCGGUCUAUUAGCUGCCACUGAAGGUGGCUCCCCUUCCUGCUCGGGUGGCGCUCGCCGGUCUAUUAGCUGCC